CUCGACUCACUUCGGACCCUGCCUAGCCAGCAGCCCAAGCUUGAGGAGCUCUCGUUCCCCUCCAUUGCCACCAUGGCCUCCACCUCUAACCUCCUCGAUUAGCUCUAGCCCGAGCCCCUCCCUCCUUCUCUCCACAACCAGCAAAACCCCUCCACCUAGUAGAGUCUCCCUACCCCUUCAUCUCGUUGCCGGAGUGCCAUAGCAGCGAGCCCAUCUCUGGCCGUAGCCACCGUCCUCCGUGGAUGCUGCUCUGCUCAACUCCGAGCUCCCCGGGGCUGAGUCGCCCAGGGAUUGGACCGCCUCGCUCUACUGAUUCCAACGGUGGGUGCACGCCACCUGUGGUGGCCUGUGUCACCGGCAAUCGCCGUCGAGGAGGCCAUCUGCCUCGGCUCGUUGCGCCCCCGAGCGAGACGAAGAAGAAGCCAGCCAAGGCCAUCGCCCGUGGACCCCACCCAUCAGUCUAACAGAAGAGUUGACUAGGUACGCUGAUGUGGAUAACUGGAGGCGUAAUCGACUAGAUUACGUCUUCAGUUUUCCUAAGGCGUAUUUUCGUGCCUCUUUAGAUCACAGUACGUUUUCCCUGAUCUAAAAGCGUAUUUCUAAAAAGGCGCUUUCUGUUUUUCAGCCCCGCUCACCGAAAACGUUAAAUUGUGAACGUUCACUAUUUAAGCCACUUUUCUGCCUAAAAGGUGAACGAGGACAACAUUUCAUCCGUCACUCCGAUUGAGGUGAUUCAAACAAUCACCUUCUCUGUUUGUUGACCUCUUUUUGAUGGGACUAUUUUCUUUAUGUUUGCACAUUCUCAAAAUGCCCAUUUUGCCCUUGCUCUAAUUCAGCCCCUCUGAGAGAGAACCGUUCUCUGGAAAAAUUUCCGCGAGUUGAUUGCACUCAUUUCCGGAGUAUUCCUCGACCCCAGGCAAGCCAACCUCUUAUCAUAAGCCCCGUCCUUGCGGUUGCUUGCACCUUGUGUGUGUGCUUAGUUGUAGUAGUUUCUUGCUUGUUUCGUCUUCUGUUAUUUCAGUCUUGCUUUUAUAAUUAUGUUGUGUGCCUUGCAUGUUUGUGCUUUCAUGCUAUCUUUGGACAUGCUAGUUGGAUAUUGCUAUUCAUAAUAUCAUGCCUCUGUUUUGAUUGAUGUCAGUAGACUUGAUGCCAUGAUGAUUCUGUUACCUUGUCAAUAUGCUAGUACCUGGAAUUGUCAUGUUUCAUAUGCUAUAGUUGUUCACUUGAGAAGCUUGGUAUUUGUUAAUGCAUUUGUAUGUUGCAUGCUUGUUGUUGCAUUCAUGAUAAAUAUGCUCAUAGUGUUGAUGAUGAUGGAGAAUUUAAUAAUAUAACUUAAUAGUAAACCUCCUCCGUCCUUGAUGGGAUCGAGUCAUAGUGCCACCAAAUCGAACUUUCUCCCAUGUAGCCACAUUUGCCUUUAUGGGAGGGCCCUAGAUGGGUCUAUUAUCAUGCUUCUCACCGGUGCCUCCAAUGAGGGAAGGUUAUGGGCGCACGCUACCCUGAUCAGGUAGGCGGACAUAAGCCUUGUGUGCCCGUAGUUGGAUGAUAAGCGCUUUUGUCCCCGUUUGGGACCGUUUUUGUUUUGCACAUGACGGUGGCUGUUUUGCCAUGACGGUGGCCGUUGUGCCUUUGGUAGGCACGGGGCCACCCUGGACUGAACCCCAAGGGGUGUUGGUCGGAGUGGUCGGGAGAGUGUCAUGGCAGUUCGUCGGUUUUGUCGGUCCACCAGAAUUGGAGUACAAGGCCAUGGGUUCCGUGGUGUGGGUACAGUGUGCUACCUCUGCACAUUGUGUGUUAAAACUAUUGAUAGCCGUGUCAUCGAUCAUAGGCACAAGUCCGUAGUAGGUCACACUAUCGGGUCUUGGUCGAAAUGGAGGAUAAACCUGAAAUAACUAAGUUGAUGAAUAAUGUGUAAUGAAUAAUGUGGUGACUUGGACUAUGAGAUAGUCGUGAGAAGUCACGGUGAUGUUUUGACAUGAUCACGAGAGGAGGUCUCGGUGGGUGUUGAACCAAGUGUUGUUUUAUAUGUGAUGUGUGAAUGAUCACCAUUUAGUUACGAGGUAAGCCGUUGGUAAGAGAGUCCGAAGGACUCGGUGCACAAGUGUUGGUUGCAGUGCAUGAGUAACAUGUUGUUAUUUGCAUUUAAAGAGUCGUGUCAGAAUAAAAGAUUGUUGCAUAAAGUUAACACAUUAUGUUUGCAUGUGAAGUAACUGGUAGGUUAUUUUCAGCAUAGUUUCAUGAUGCCAUGCCAUGCUUUGAUUGAAAUGCUAGAUUAUGCCAUGCUUUGAAAUAUCAUGUUAUGAUCAAGAUGCUAUGCUAUGUUUUGCCAUUGUCAUGUUUCGAUUGAAUUGCUAGAUGAUGCCAUGUUAUGAAUUGCCAUGUUUUGCUGCUACAAAGUUAGAAGCAUGUUUUGAUAUGUCAUGUUAUUGCCAUGCUAGUAGUUGUUGAUACUUUGUUUGAUUUAUGUCGCCAGCUAAUAUUAUGCCAUGCUUAUAAAUUGUGAUGAGUUAAAUUAUAGCAUGCGCUUGGUUCUUGUUUGUCAUAUGUUUGUUUGGAUGCUAUAUAUUUGUUGGUCUUGCAAGUACAGUCAAUGUACUGAACGAGCGUGUCAUGCCAGUUUUGUAGGUAAUGUCUGAAUUGUUUGCUUGUUCCGUCAUGCUAGGCCGUAAUCUUGCCGGUCCUGUGAGUUGUGGUGGCCAGCCAGAGUCGACAUGCUGUCAAACCAAGACUUCCGCCGCCAUUUAAAUAGCCUUAGAGCUAUGCCAGAUGAUUCUUGUAUACAUGUAUUUGAUGAAUAUUAUCAUACUUGGAAUGCUGUAUCAUUGAACAGUCGUGCGUCAGGUGUUAUCCUGGGCUGACGUGCGAAGGCCCCUUGCUCCAUGCGGAUCGGGGUGCCACAGGAGAUAGUAUCAGAGCAGCCAGGCCGACAUAGGUUAUCCAAGCAAUAGAUCACCACUACCAUUAACCCGUAAUAACCCUAAGGGAUUUGACCCAUCCCUGGCAUCCGGAAUGGCCAUUGUUAAUUAGCAGGUGGCACAAUCGAGACUGACACAUCCUCACCCCGCUGUCAACGCCUAGUUAUUCAUGGAUCGAAUAGCAACCCUAUCCUUUAUGGUCGGCCGCACUGCUUACCCUUCACCAUUAAGGGAAAGGGGCCAUGCCAUGCGGGCAUGUCCCGCGUAGCUUCCUAUAAAAUCCCCUUUCGCUAAUCGUAUUGCUCACCCCUCAGUCAGGCAUGACCCUGCAGAGAAGCCUAGCCAGUAACUCCCCAACCAUGACUUGCGCCCUCAAAGCUCCCAAGUUUUACACCUGAACCUUUGUUUCAAUCAUACUGGCUUUCCACGCCUUCUUACUGAGAUGCUCACCAAAGCCUUUCGCUGUAAUGCUAGCCACAAUUAGAUUACCUGGUGUUCCAAUUGGCACCCGUCCCUCACCUUCACUGCUAUGAUGCAAGAGUGCACAUCUGCCCAGUGCCCGCGGGAGAUGGUCAGCCCUUGGUUUUUCAGGGCAAAGCCAUGCCCACUACUGAUUUGGCAAUUCAGGCCGCUACUGUGGAGGCUAUCCUAUACCUCCAAACCAAGUUUCCGCAAGUGGCAGAGAGGCGGGAGUUCUGCUUUUUCCCCAUUGUGGCAGAAAUAGGAAUUUAUCCUCCCCCCACUAUUCAGGUAGAUGACCCCACAAUCGCUCGCCUAGCGCAAUAUAUCACUGCCCAGGGGGUGAUGAUUGCAAAGAUUCUUGCCGAGUUUAGAACCAUGGACCAUGAUGCGGUAUGGGUUGUCACGGAAGCUUAUCGUGAGGCUCGUAAAUUUGCAUCCCAAACCGUUCGCCCAAUGCCAUCCGAGCCAGUGCUACCCUCUCAGACUGUGUUGUGGCUUAAUCCAAACAUCGUCACCCUCAACAAGGCUCUUUACCGGAUCCACCAGAAGCAUUUGCUUGGAGCAAUUUCAGCCACACGCCCAGCAGUAGAGCCCCAACCCAUAGAAGUGUCGGACGAGGGAGAUGGAGAUUGGCUCAGGCUUCAUCCUCCAGGAGAGCGCCAGCAAGGCCAGUCCUCAGCAUGACCUCAGUCACACAGUCAGGUGUUUCUGCGAGUAGGUCGGUCUGAUGGUUCAUCCUCGAUAUGAGGGUAGAACCAUGUAUCCCGGAGUGAGUGGUUUCGUUUAGCGCAUGGCGCGUUCGUGCUUUGUUGCAUGCUUGUACUGUUGUAACCUGCAUGAUGUAUUAUGUAUGCUUCCUUGCUUCUUGCUUUUGUUUUUGUUUGUCUCUCAGUCAAGCAGAAAUGUUUCACAGGGUUGGCAAUGUGUGCUAACAAGAUUUUAAUCAGUAGAGCACAUACACUAAACAACAUUGACUCGUCCCGAGUCUGUAAUAAAAUGCGCGCUGGUGUAGGUAUAUGUAUACCAGGAGUACAUAUACCCACUCGCAUUAAAACACCUUAGUGUGAUUUGCUUGAUGUGUUUUUUCGUUGCAUAUAUAUGUUGCAUCUAUCCGUUUGCUACUUUAGACUGCACUACAUCCUGCACGGAUACCUGGUUCACCCACGAGUACAUUUGGGCAGUACUCGGGGAAUGCAAAAUCAUCCCUAGCUCUAUCUAUGUAUACCUCGUGUGCCAGAUUUUUAGACCUAGAGCUCCGAAGAGGCAUUUCCAUCUGGCCAUUUCUCGUCCUUAAUUCUUUUUCGAUAGCCCCAAUUGCGUUUCCAGAGAAACACUGCCAGUUUUAUUUCACUCGAUCCAGUACAUCCACCCCGAUACAGAUUUCAACUCUAAUUCUACCUCGAUGCCUACAUUUCGUGGAGCUAUCCGUGAAAUUUUUCUCCGUGCCCUAGUAUGACUCCUGUGCUGCCGCAGCCUCCUCACCCGCAUCUGUUGCCUUGCGUGGCGUAGGUAAGUUGCCCCCACCGCUCCACCGCAUCAUGCGAUUACUCCGCCGGUGCGAAGCGGCGGAGAAUCAAGUGCGGCGGAGGACCACCUAGUGCACCAUCUUCAUCCGCACCUCGAACCACCGCACCUAGUCGCGCGUUGCCUCAAGCCCGCUCAUACCUGAUGAUCGUCAGCAGGAUGAUUGACGAGCCAAUCAGCAUGCCUAGCAGAGCAGCUAGGAACCACCGCAGUGCCACCAGGAACACGGCCUCGCCGAAGGAGCUCGGCUCGAUCCCGUCCAAACCAAAUAGGUAGUAGAGCGGCAUUGUGUUUGUGUGUUGGAAGAGAGCCGCGCUGCCGUUUUUAUAGCCCAACCCAUGUGUACAGUGAGCGAGGUCCAGGAGAAACACUCAUCACUCGAUCACUGGCGUCUAGGAGGCGAAUGCGCGAGCAGUGCCGAAAAGGUGCUGGCCCAUGAUGUGAGUGCUCGUUGCACUGGCGCCGUGCACACUGCGCCCUACGACACUAGGGUCCUCAUCUCCCUAGGAGCUAGAUGCGCGCCGCACCAAGCCACACACGGAGCAGCUGCAUAGAUGAAGCUGCAAGCCGAAGGUAGAAGAAGGAGGCUACCAGUGGGCCCUGGACCCACGUGUCAGCAGGUGAAACCACUGUUCACUGGGGUGCAUCCAGCAUUUUUCUGAGAGUUUGAUCUCGCGUGCCCCUAGCUAUGGAAAUAACCAUGUUUAUCACAUCUCUCCCUGGGUGUACCAAUUAAUGGUGCCCCCAACUCGAGAAUCUCACCAAAGUGUUAAAAAUUAACCUAGAGGUUUUCCCCAGAGUGGUUAUCUUUUCAUUUGUGUUGUAACCCUAGGAAUCUCGAGGACGAGAUUCUUUUAAGGGGGGAAGGUUUGUAACAACCCCAAAAUUGGGUUCCCAAUUUUUGUGUUGUUAUUCCAUCCUGGCAAUCAUUUUCAAAAUCUUUCUCCUGAGUUUGCUGGAUGACUCUGAGAAUUCUUGUCAUUUCCAACCUUUCAAGACCUUUCUCAUGUCUUUGUUAGUGGGCAAGACGUCAUUUGCAUCAUCUCAAACCCAUUGAAACCCUAAUUCCAAAUUUUUGGAAUUUGAAUAUGCCCUUUGUGAAUAUAAAGGAGCCAUCAUUUUCCUUGAUCUGUUGAUCAUCCUGAUUGUUCCCAGAGACCCUCCUACCUUUCUAAACCUUGGAUAUGCACAAAUAUUGCUAAGUCCUAUGCAAUAUUUUUGAAUGGUGAUUUAUUAAUUUUCUUGCCUUUUUGAGGAAUAAAAUCCAAAGGCAUAGCUAGCCAUCUCCUAAAGUCAUGAGAAUUGGUGGAGUUGAUAUUUAUGCCUAAUCCAAGCUCUGGCAAAAAAUAUUGGCCAUAAUUAAAUAAGGAAAAUUGCAUUUUCCUAUUUAAUGCCAAUAUUCCAUUUUUGCCACUAUCUAAAGGAACUAUUAUUUUUAUAGUAGAGAAAAUUCCCACAUAAAUUAUGGAGCUUGCCCUUGCUAUAUAAUCACUAGUUCCAUCCUUAUCUAAUGUUCCACAGAUCAAAAGUUGGGCGAUGAUCAAUGCAAGUUUCUGCCUUCUCUGAAUUUUUGCAAAGGAAGUGCUUUAUUCCUAAUUCCAAUUGAGCUACAAUUUGGCAGGGUGAUUAACAUUGAUAAAUCACCCAUGGAUACCCAAAAUGAGCUCAAUCCAUUCAUCCUAGCUCCCUGUUCAAUUUUUCAAAGUUUCUGACUAGAUUGGAACUUUGUGAAGGAAGUACCUCCAUAGAGUUUCCAAAUGGUAUGAAACUUUUCCAACUUCUCAAAUAUCCUAAAUAAUGAGCCUCCACGAAAAUUCAGCUCAUUCCAUUGAACUAUGUGAGCACAGGAGAAAUUCUUGGUUUCUGUCCAAAUUUUUAGUUUGUGAAGCAAGUAUAUUUUAUCUUGCUCCAUUAUGGCUGAAAAUAUUCCCAAUCCUUCUCCUAUCAAUAUAACCCUCCUCCACAAGAUUGUGGAUCAUUAUUUUAGCCAAUAUUUUCCCAGAAUUUUCCCAAGUUCCUGGACAGAAGAGAUGUUUGUGAAACAAGUACCAUUUUGGCAAGUCCAUUUAGUAUGAUCUUUUUGUAGCAUCUACAUAUGUCCAGAUCACUCCUAGUGAGUGCUUCUUCCUCAUUUGUUUUCUGGACCUAAUAUGGCAGUUGCAAAGAAAUUAUGUUAAAUCCUUAUCCUAAUGGCCUCAUAACACCCAGGACUGUAGUCCUUGCUACCCUAAGCCUCCUAUACAUCAAGUUCACUUCCUACCCUCUCUGGUUUAAUCUCUAGAAUGUGGUCAAGUUUUCUACAGCAAACAUAGGAAGCUUAGUUUACUCAGCUCCCUUUGUCUUUGCUCGUUUCUUUGCCGUAGUAAUACUCUACCUUGGAUGGACUAUGUUGUAGACAUGAGCUGGCAUCAUGAAGGAAGCCAGAGCGUACGUUGUCGAUGGUGACCACAGGCAAUGCCGGCCAAAACGAUGGUCUAGCCACUGUUGGCAACGACAAAGCUACUCCGGUCGGUUCUGGGCAUCCCCGAGUGCCCAGUAGCUCGGCCUCGACAUUGUCUUCUCGCUAGACCCCUCUUCCCUCCGUUUGCUUCUCCGGCGAAUCGUUCCAACGGCCAAACAGUGAGCUCCCAUGGACAUCGUCUUCUUCCUUGCUUUUGUCCUCUUCCCCCUCUCCUCCGCGAGUGUUGCUCGUCUCCGUGAGUCCCUGCGCGUCGUCCGCAUCCCCCUCAUCGCCUUCCCACUCCUCCCCGUGAGCCCUGCAGCACUCUCCCCGCGAGUGUUGCCCGGCUGCUCUUGCCCCCACUAUUUAUAGGGACCCCUGGCCCCAUCCGAGCUCAUCACUCGCCUCGCCUCACUUCCUCGACCCUGCCUAGCCACCAGCCCGAGCUCGAGGAGCUCUCGUUUCGCUCCAUUUCGACCAUGGCCGCCGUCUCUGACCUCCUCAAUUAGCUCUAGCCCAAGCCCCGCCCUCCUUCUCUCCACCACCAGCAGAACCCCUCCACCCAGCAGAGUUUACCUGCCCCUUCGUCUGGUCACCGGAGCAUCGUAGUCGCAGGCCCAUCUCCGGCUGUAGCCACCGUCUGCCAUGGUUCUUUCUCCGCUCAACUUCAACUCCCCGGUGGCUGAGUCGCCCAGGGACGGGACCGUCGCGCUCUUCUGAUUCCAACAGUGGAUUGCAUGCCACCUGCGGUGGCCAGAGUCACCGGCAGUCGCCGUCGAGGCAGUUGUCUGCCUCAGCUCAUCGCGCCCCCGAGCGGGAGGAAGAAGAAGCCAGGCCAGGCGGGCCCCACCGCCCGUGGAGUCCACCCGUUAGUCUAACAGAAGUGUUGACCAGGUACACUGACGUGGAUAAGUGGAGGCGUAAUCUACUGGAUUACGUCUUUAGUUUUCCUAAAGCGUAUUUUCGUGCCUCUUUAGAUCAAAGUACAUUUUGCCUGAUCUGAAAGUGUAUUUCUGAAAAGGCGCUUUCUGUUUUUCAGCCCCGCCCGCCGAAAAGGUUUAAUUGAGAACAUUCACUAUUUAAGCCACUUUUCUGCCUAAAAAGUGAACGACCACAACUUUUCAACUGUGACUCUAUUCGUUGAGAUCUUUUCGAUGCCCAUUUUGUAACCCAUUUUGAAAAUGCCCAUUUUGCCCUUGCUCUAAUUCAGCCCCUCUCAGAGAGAACCUUUCUCCGGCAAAUUUUUCCACGAGUUGAUUGCACUCAUUUCCGGAGUAUUCCUCGACCCCAGGCAAGCCAACCUCUUAUCAUGAGCCCCGAACUUGCAUGUUGACGUUGCUUGCACCUCAUGUGUGUGCUUAGUCGCAGUAGUUUCUUUCCUAAUUCAUGUGCCGUUAUUUCAAUCGUGCUUUAUAAUUGUGUUGUGUGCCUAGCAUGUUUGUGCUUUCAUGCUAUCUUUGGACAUGCUAGUUGGAUGUUGUUAUUCAUAAUAUCAUGCCUCUAUUUUGAUUCAUGUCAGUAGACUUGAUACCAUGAUGAUUCUGUUACCUUGUCAAUAUGCUAGUACCUGGUAUUGUCAUGUUUCAUAUUCUAUAGUUGUUCACUUGAGAAGCUUGGUAUUUGUUAAUGCAUUUGUAUGCUGCAUGCUUGUUGUUGCAUUCAUGAUAAAUAUGCUCAUAAUGUUGAUGAUGAUGGAGAAUUUAAUAAUAUAACUUAAUAAUAAACCUCCUCCGUCCUUGAUGGGAUCGAGUCAUAGUGCCACCAAAUCGAACUUUCUCUAGUGCAGCCACAUUUGCCUUUAUGGGAAGGCCCUAGCUCGGUCUAUUGUCAUGCCUCUCGCUGGUGCCUCCAAUGAGGGAAGGUUAUGGGUGCACGCUACCCAGAUCAUGUAGGCGGACAUAAGCCUUGUGUGCCCAUAGUUGGAUGAUAAGCUCUUUUGUCCCCAUUUGGGACUGUUUUUUGUUUUGCCACGACGGUGGCCGUUGUGCCUUUGGUAGGCACGGGGCCACCCAGGCUUGAACCGCAAGGGGGUGUUGGUCGGAGUGGCCGGGAGAGUGUCAUUGCAGUAGGUCAGUUUUGUUGGAACGUCGUUGGUCCACCCGAAUGGGAGUACGAGGCCAUGGGUUCCUCUGUAGAGUGUGUGUUAAAACUAUCGAUACCCGUGUCCUUGAUCAUGGGCACAAGUUCAUAGUAGGUCACACAAUCGGGUCUUGGUAGAAAUGGAGGAUAAACCUGAAAUAACUAAGCUGAUGAAUAAUGUAUAAUGAAUAAUGUGGUGAUUUGGACUAUGAGAUAGUCGUGAGAAGUCACGGUGAUGUUUUGACAUGAUCACAAGACGAGGUCUCGGUGAGUGUUGAACCAAGUGUGGUUCUGUUUGUGAUCUGUGAAUGAUCACCAUUUGGUUACAAGGUAACCCGUUGGUAAGAGAGUCCGAGGGACUCGAUUCACAAGUGUUGGUUGCAUUGCAUGAGUAACAUGUUGAUAUUUGCAUUUAAAGGGCCGUGUCAGAAUAAAAGACUGAUGCAUAAAGUUAACACGUUAUGUUUGCAUGAGAAGUAACUGCUAGGUUAUUUUCAUCAUAGUUUCAUGAUGCCAUGCCACGCUUUGAUUGAAAUGCUAGAUUAUGCCAUGCUUUGAAAUAUCAAGUUAUGAUCAAGAUGCCAUGCUAUGUUUUGCCAUUGUCAUGUUUCGAUUGAAUUGCUAGAUGAUGCCAUGUUAUGAAUUGCCAUGUUUUGCUACUACCAAGUUAGAAGCACGUUUUGAUAUGUCAUGUUAUUGCCAUGCUAGUAGUUGUUGAUACUUAGUUUGAUUUAUGUCGCCAGCUAAUAUUAUGCCAUGCUUAUAAAUUGUGAUGAGUUAAAUUGUUGCAUGCUCUUGGUUCUUGUUUGUCAUCUAUUUGUUUGGAUGCUAUAUAUUCGGUUGUCUUGCAACUACAUUCAAUGUACCGACCUGGCGUGUCAUGCCAGUUUUUGUAGGUAAUGUCCGAAUUAUUCGCUUGUGCCGUCAUGCUAGGCCGUAAUCUUGCCAGUCCUGUGAGUUGUGGAGCCCAGCCAGAGUCGAUAUGCUGUUAAACCAAGACUUCCGCCGCCAUUUAAAUAGAUUUCCGCCACCAUUUAAAUAGCCUUAGAGCUAUGCCAAAUGAUUGUAUUCAUCAAUGAUGUAAUCUUAUAUACAUGUAUUUGAUGAAUAUUAUUGUACCUGGAUGUUGUAUCAUGGAUCUGUCGUGCGUCAGGUGUUAUCCUGG
RNAcentral lists this long non-coding RNA (10585 nucleotides) under Triticum aestivum (bread wheat). Its description in RNAcentral is "long non-coding RNA (TAES_LNC003757)". Lineage: Eukaryota; Viridiplantae; Streptophyta; Magnoliopsida; Poales; Poaceae. The record is from RNAcentral.